UGCAAGUCGAGCGGUAAGGCCCCUUCGGGGGUACACGAGCGGCGAACGGGUGAGUAACACGUGGGUGACCUGCCCUCAGCUCUGGGAUAAGCCUGGGAAACCGGGUCUAAUACCGGAUAUGACCCCACAGUGCAUGCUGUGGGGUGGAAAGCCUUGUGCGGCUGAGGAUGGGCCCGCGGCCUAUCAGCUUGUUGGUGGGGUGAUGGCCUACCAAGGCGACGACGGGUAGCCGGCCUGAGAGGGCGACCGGCCACACUGGGACUGAGACACGGCCCAGACUCCUACGGGAGGCAGCAGUGGGGAAUCUUGCGCAAUGGGCGAAAGCCUGACGCAGCGACGCCGCGUGAGGGAUGACGGCCUUCGGGUUGUAAACCUCUUUCAGCUCCGACGAAGCGAAAGUGACGGUAGGAGCAGAAGAAGCACCGGCCAACUACGUGCCAGCAGCCGCGGUAAUACGUAGGGUGCGAGCGUUGUCCGGAAUUAUUGGGCGUAAAGAGCUCGUAGGCGGUCUGUCGCGUCGGCUGUGAAAACUCGGGGCUCAACUCCGAGCUUGCAGUCGAUACGGGCAGGCUAGAGUUCAGCAGGGGAGACUGGAAUUCCUGGUGUAGCGGUGAAAUGCGCAGAUAUCAGGAGGAACACCGGUGGCGAAGGCGGGUCUCUGGGCCGAUACUGACGCUGAGGAGCGAAAGCGUGGGGAGCGAACAGGAUUAGAUACCCUGGUAGUCCACGCCGUAAACGUUGGGCGCUAGGUGUGGGAUCCCUUCCACGGGUUCCGUGCCGCAGCUAACGCAUUAAGCGCCCCGCCUGGGGAGUACGGCCGCAAGGCUAAAACUCAAAUGAAUUGACGGGG
This 850-nucleotide ribosomal RNA is filed under the name uncultured Actinomycetes bacterium. RNAcentral's name for it is "bacterial SSU rRNA". It matches the Rfam family "Bacterial small subunit ribosomal RNA", at positions 56 to 918 of the family's 1533-position model. The record is from RNAcentral. Lineage: Bacteria; Bacillati; Actinomycetota; Actinomycetes.